RNAcentral lists this long non-coding RNA (1106 nucleotides) under Canis lupus familiaris (dog). RNAcentral's name for it is "lncRNA (ENSCAFG00000054249.1)". The record is from RNAcentral. Lineage: Eukaryota; Metazoa; Chordata; Mammalia; Carnivora; Canidae.
CAGCAGUUCUGCGCCUCCUCGCCCGACUCUGGGAAGCUGAAAACUUGUUUUUCUGCUUGCCUGUCCCCGGAUCCAAACAGCCCCGACGGCCAAUGGCAGCGCUCCCGGCCCCGCCUGCCUGCGCGGAGCCGCCUCUGGCUUCCCUGAGCUGGAGCUGCGGGAUUUAUCCACGUGCGCAGUGGGGACUGUAAAUCACGGCAGGUCGGGGCCCCGCGAUCCCUGACGUUAGGAGAGGGGGCGGGGGUGAGGAGGCGUCCGUGCCGGGAACGAUCCCGGCCUGGAGCUGGGCUGCGUGUCGGCACAUCACAGAUAAUAAAACUGCAUCUUCCUGCGGCGCACGGGGCCGGCGUGUCAAACCAAGAUGCUGUAGCGGAUGCCUGGUGGCCAGGAGCGUCCCGUCAGAAAGCCACGGUCCAUGCACCACACAUCCCACACACAUCGUAAAGAUACAGUAAUGUUCUGGAGGCUGGAGUCCGAGAUCCCGGGGGUGGAACCUGUCCCAGGCUGCUCUCCGGCUCCUGGUGAUCGCCGUCGCCAAACGCUGGGUUCCUGGGCUCGUGGAAGUGUCCCGGGAUCUCCGCCUUCACGGUCACACGGGCUUCUCCCUGCGCACCUCAUCCCGAGGUAGGGGGUUCGGCUCUCAGGCUCUCGGCGUGGACCGGGCGGGCACCAGUCCAUCCAGACGCUUGCUGCGGGGGCAGCGAUGAGCGGUGCCCGGCUCUGGACUCGUGCCUGAGACUGCUGAGGAGUGAGGCCAGCGGCCCCAGGGGCAGGAGGGGUCUGUGCUGCGGGCACGUAGUCCCGGGCUGGCCCUGAGCCCCUGGUGCCCACGGGGGUCCCAAUCCCUGGGGACACUGGGUUGGGGUCCCUGGAAGCCGUGUCUGUUCAAGCGACCGGCUGGGAGGGUUCUUGGGGGGAGCGUGGCCACGAAGCGAUGGCCCCAGCCUGCCCAGCCCGGCUCCUGACCUUCCGCCCCGGCUCUCAGCGGCUCCAGGGAAGACCCCGCUGUUUUCAUUUUUCCUUUUUUUUUUUUUUUGACCUAAAGCUAGAUUUAACUGUAAAGAGCAAUAAAUUAUGAAUCAGGAAAAACAUCUCUUGUCCCCACA